This 84-nucleotide transfer RNA is filed under the name Staphylococcus epidermidis. Its description in RNAcentral is "tRNA-Phe". Lineage: Bacteria; Bacillati; Bacillota; Bacilli; Caryophanales; Staphylococcaceae. RNAcentral also lists the same sequence under 1 other name. The record is from RNAcentral.
AUGAAAAAAUAUUUUAUGUGGAAUUUUAUAGGAAUAAAAUUCCUAAACUGCGUGUCACUGGUUCGAUUCCGGUUAGGCGCACCA